RNAcentral lists this long non-coding RNA (356 nucleotides) under Populus trichocarpa (black cottonwood). RNAcentral describes it as "long non-coding RNA (PTRI_LNC001985)". The record is from RNAcentral. Lineage: Eukaryota; Viridiplantae; Streptophyta; Magnoliopsida; Malpighiales; Salicaceae.
GUGGUUAGAUGGUCACCAACAGUUAUUUUUUGUUUUCUCCUAUUCUUUUCUCUCUCCUAACAACUAAAGUACACCAUUAUCCUUUUUAUUUUUAGUUUGUUAAUUUCAAUCCUCAUUCUUUUCAUUUCUGAUUUUUUUUUUAGAAGUUUUUUUUUGUUUUUGCAAUUUAGUCCUUUAAUUACACUUACUAAUAUGUUUUAAUUUUAGUUUUAGUCAUCACUCUUUUAAUUUAUGAUUUUGUUCUUAUUACUUUUAUAGCUUCAUUCCUCGUUCUUUUAAUUUCUUCUUUCAUUUUUAUUUCUUUUAAAGAAGUUUUUUGUUUUUCAAUUUAGUCCUUCAAUUACAAUUUAUUAUUU